Long non-coding RNA from Xenopus laevis (African clawed frog), 846 nucleotides. RefSeq lists it as uncharacterized. The record is from RefSeq and is a predicted model, not a curated record. Lineage: Eukaryota; Metazoa; Chordata; Amphibia; Anura; Pipidae. The transcript has 4 exons.
ACGGAAUGUUACAUUAAACUGCUCCAUAAGGUCACUGGGGAUCUGUCUAUAUACUAUACAUGCAAUCUAAUCAUAACAAUUAACCCAUUCUAUUUAAGAUCAGCUAACAAAGGCAUGUAUAUAACCUUUCAAAUAGUUAAUAUCAUCUUGUAGAUUACCAAGUAAUGCCAUUCGUAGUGAUAGCAAGGCAGAUCCAUUGGACUAUAAAACAGAUAACAUCUGUAGAUGGUUGAAGGGUGAAACUUACUUCAGAAGAUUUCGUAAAUUUACACCCCGACAAACAAGUAGAGGAUCAUCCUCAUCUGGUAGUGGUACUGAUCUCACAGAUGAACCAACAGAGUGAACCAAGAGAGAGGAGAGAGAGAGAGAUGGAAUGACGCAUUGUGUUGCACCAUCUCAACAUAGUUUCCGACCAACCAAAGAUUUCAAGACCUCCAGUGGAGUGUGUGGAUCCGGGGGCUGACCAACAGGCCUCUAAGAUGUCUAAACAACUUAACCUUAAAUCUGUUCUCAUGCCACCUAUACAGGACAAGUCUUUUUUUAUAGGAUUGACAACUGAGAAUCUGUGGAGAGUGGCGGCAAUGCUAGUCCUGUGUGGUGGUUGGCAGGCCCUGGAACUUUGUGGGGGCAACUACUGGGAAUCCACCUGGCACUGAUCUUGCUUUCCAGCCUUAAAAUGGAUACUCUCCUACGCAGAGGAGGACAGUGACAUCAUAUUCAAAUACCCUAAGGGUUAAGAAAAAAAUUUUGUUUCCAUCAUUUCACACAGGUAUACAGCAUAGACCAAAACAAUUUAGCAUUGGAAAUUGUAUAUUAACAAAUAUUAAACCAAUAAACUUAAACAAC